GGUCAAGCUAAUAAGGGCUAACGGUGGAUACCUAGGCACACAGAGGCGAUGAAGGACGCGGUUACCGGCGAUACGCCCCGGGGAGUUGGAAGCGAGCAGUGAUCCGGGGAUUUCCGAAUGGGGCAACCCUCAAUACUACCCACUCAAUCCAUAGGUGGGAAAGAGCGAACGCAGCGAACUGAAACAUCUUAGUAGCUGUAGGAAAAGAAAACAAACGUGAUUCCCCUAGUAGCGGCGAGCGAAGCGGGAAGAGCCUAAACCAGCGUGCAUGCACGCUGGGGUUGUGGGACAGCGACAUGGAAUCUGGAGACUAGACGAAGCAUUGGAAUGAUGCACCAGAGAAAGUGACAGUCUUGUAGUCGAAAGUUGAAGGAUACUAGCUGGAUCCCGAGUAGCCUGGAGCACGUGGAAUUCCGGGUGAAUCAGCGAGGACCACCUCGUAAGGCUAAAUACUCCUGUGUGACCGAUAGUGAACCAGUACCGCGAGGGAACGGUGAAAAGAACCCCGGGAGGGGAGUGAAAUAGAACAUGAAACCGUUAGCCUACAAGCAGUGGAAGGCCGAUUCAACGGCUGACCGCGUGCCUGUUGAAGAAUGAGCCGGCGACUUAUAGGCACUGGCAGAUUAAGCCGAAAAUGGCGGAGUCAAAGCGAAAGCGAGUCUGAAGAGGGCGAAGCGUCAGUGUUUAUAGACCCGAACCCGGGUGAUCUAACCAUGUCCAGGAUGAAGCUUGGGUAACACCAAGUGGAGGUCCGAACCGACCGAUGUUGAAAAAUCGGCGGAUGAGGUGUGGUUAGGGGUGAAAUGCCAAUCGAACCCGGAGCUAGCUGGUUCUCCCCGAAAUGUGUUGAGGCGCAGCGGUGGAUGUUAUAGCUGGGGGGUAAAGCACUGAUUCGGUGCGGGCUGCGAGAGCGGUACCAAAUCGAGUCAAACUCUGAAUACCCAGCGCACAGUCCGCCAGUGAGACGGUGGGGGAUAAGCUUCAUCGUCAAGAGGGAAACAGCCCAGACCACCAGCUAAGGUCCCCAAAUCACGGCUAAGUGAGAAAGGAGGUGGGAGUGCAUAGACAACCAGGAGGUUUGCCUAGAAGCAGCCAUCCUUAAAAGAGUGCGUAAUAGCUCACUGGUCAAGCGCUCCUGCGCCGAAAAUGAACGGGGCUAAGUCGUGUACCGAAGCUGUGGAUUCGCAAGAAUGGUAGGGGAGCGUUCUGUAGUAGUGAGAAGCAUCAGCGUAAGCAGGUGUGGACGAAGCAGAAGUGAGAAUGUCGGCUUGAGUAGCGCAAACAUUGGUGAGAAUCCAAUGCCCUGAAAUCCCAAGGGUUCCUCCGGAAGGCUCGUCCGCGGAGGGUUAGUCGGGACCUAAGGCGAGGCCGAAAGGCGUAGUCGAUGGAGAAUCGGUUAAUAUUCCGAUACCGAUUUUGAAUGGUGGCGGGGGACGGAGAAGGCUAACACAGCCGGAUGUUGGUUACCGGUUCAAGUGUCCGAGGUGAGGAGAGACGGUGAAAACGUCUUGAGCUGAGGCAUGAGUACGAGGGUCUACGGACCCGAAGUGUGUGAGGUCAGGCUUCCAAGAAAAGCCCGAACCACGUUAAUUCAAAAUUGCCCGUACCCGAAACCGACACAGGUGGGAAGGUUGAGAAUACCGAAGGGCGCGAGAUAACUCUCUCUAAGGAACUCGGCAAAAUGGCCCCGUAACUUCGGAAGAAGGGGUGCCCCCGCGAGGGGGUCGCAGUGAAGAGGCCCAGGCGACUGUUUACCAAAAACACAGGUCUCCGCGAAGUCGAAAGACGAGGUAUGGGGGCUGACGCCUGCCCAGUGCCGGAAGGUUAAGGAAGUCGGUCAGCGCAAGCGAAGCUGGCGACCGAAGCCCCGGUGAACGGCGGCCGUAACUAUAACGGUCCUAAGGUAGCGAAAUUCCUUGUCGGGUAAGUUCCGACCCGCACGAAAGG
This 1947-nucleotide ribosomal RNA is filed under the name Leptolyngbyaceae cyanobacterium HOT.MB2.61. RNAcentral's name for it is "partial 23S ribosomal RNA". It matches the Rfam family "Bacterial large subunit ribosomal RNA", at positions 1 to 1999 of the family's 2925-position model. The record is from RNAcentral. Lineage: Bacteria; Bacillati; Cyanobacteriota; Cyanophyceae; Leptolyngbyales; Leptolyngbyaceae.